Long non-coding RNA from Monodelphis domestica (gray short-tailed opossum), 419 nucleotides. RefSeq lists it as uncharacterized. Lineage: Eukaryota; Metazoa; Chordata; Mammalia; Didelphimorphia; Didelphidae. The record is from RefSeq and is a predicted model, not a curated record.
GUUAUUCCAGAAGGCAAUGAAGGAGUUUUCAUAUUGGAGCCAGAAAUAAAUUUUGAAGGGAAAAGAACCUUAAGGUCCUAGGAGAAAAAAAAAAGUACAUUAGAUGUACAUGAGAAACGGUCUUGCAAGGAAAGAAAUGCCUCUGAGCAAAACUACAAAUGGUUAAAAAAAAGAAUACUUCAAAAGGAAGGUGGCAUCACAUUUAAAGAUAAUAUCUUUGGCUCACUGGUGCUAUGAUUCCAGAGGGAUAUUUCUACCAUGCCAAGAUUUGAGAAACUGCAGGAAAAGAAGCUCACUUAUUCCCUGAAUCAAGGAAAAUGAACAGUUUUAAGGAAACACCAUAAAGACACCUACACUGAAUCAGAAGAUCUGGAAUAAAAUGUUGGAAGUAUUAAUUAAAAUGAAGGGGGUUGAAUUCA